AAGAUGGCGACCGGCGCACGGGUGAGUAACACGUAUCCAACCUGCCGAUAACUCUGGAAUAGCCUUUCGAAAGAAAGAUUAAUACCGGAUGGCAUACGAAUAUCGCAUGAUAUUUUUAUUAAAGAGUUUCGGUUAUCGAUGGGGAUGCGUUCCAUUAGUUUGUUGGCGGGGUAACGGCCCACCAAGACAACGAUGGAUAGGGGUUCUGAGAGGAAGGUCCCCCACAUUGGAACUGAGACACGGUCCAA
RNAcentral lists this ribosomal RNA (248 nucleotides) under uncultured bacterium. RNAcentral's name for it is "partial 16S ribosomal RNA". It matches the Rfam family "Bacterial small subunit ribosomal RNA", at positions 85 to 334 of the family's 1533-position model. The record is from RNAcentral.